GAUGAACGCUGGCGGCGUGCCUAAUACAUGCAAGUAGAACGCUGAAGGAAGGAGCUUGCUCUUUCCGGAUGAGUUGCGAACGGGUGAGUAACGCGUAGGUAACCUGCCUGGUAGCGGGGGAUAACUAUUGGAAACGAUAGCUAAUACCGCAUAACAGUAGAUGUUGCAUGAUAUCUACUUAAAAGGUGCAAUUGCACCACUACCAGAUGGACCUGCGUUGUAUUAGCUAGUUGGUGUGGUAACGGCUCACCAAGGCGACGAUACAUAGCCGACCUGAGAGGGUGAUCGGCCACACUGGGACUGAGACACGGCCCAGACUCCUACGGGAGGCAGCAGUAGGGAAUCUUCGGCAAUGGACGGAAGUCUGACCGAGCAACGCCGCGUGAGUGAAGAAGGUUUUCGGAUCGUAAAGCUCUGUUGUAAGAGAAGAACGAGUGUGAGAGUGGAAAGUUCACACUGUGACGGUAUCUUACCAGAAAGGGACGGCUAACUACGUG
This 497-nucleotide ribosomal RNA is filed under the name uncultured bacterium. RNAcentral describes it as "partial 16S ribosomal RNA". It matches the Rfam family "Bacterial small subunit ribosomal RNA", at positions 28 to 507 of the family's 1533-position model. The record is from RNAcentral.